Molecule: long non-coding RNA, 695 nt
Filed under: Trifolium pratense (red clover)
Lineage: Eukaryota; Viridiplantae; Streptophyta; Magnoliopsida; Fabales; Fabaceae
Description: long non-coding RNA (TPRA_LNC013362)
Source: RNAcentral
AAAUUAAUUUCAACUAUCAAGUUGAUUGCAUCCCCAAAAUCCCAAUUGAUUCUUCCCCAAAUUGAUUCUACUUCUCAUAAUCGAUUAUUCUCCUCGAACAGAAAACACAACUGGCGGAUGAUUCAGCUCAGGAACCAUAAUCUGUUAAGUUGAAGAAACGCGAUUCCACCCUUCAUCUCGACAAAACGCUAUUCCUUCCGAUUCUAUUCUCGCAAGGUACUCACUUUUUCCUUUCUUUCCAAAUUACGAUGAGAAUGGUUUUUCUGAUUUCGAUUUUAUUUCCUUUCUUUGAGUUCAGAAUUUGGCUAUUCAUGAGUUUGUGGCUAAACAUGUAAUUCUGAGUUCAGAACCAACACUUUUAUUAUACUGUGUUUGUGGUACUUGAUUUUAUUAUACUAUGUUUGUUCUUUUAACUAUAGUUUGAUUAGGACUUUGGUUUUAAAAAGCCUUGUUGAUGUUUGUUUGUGAUGUUAUAUAAAUUGGCAUCAUUGGGCAUUUACCUUUGUAGUUUAGUAAGAGAUUUCAGCUUAUUAUCAGGCCUUUGUUUUAGUAACUUAAGAUGGUAAGAUUAUCAAGAGAGUUUCAACUUGUCUCAGUGUUGUUAAAUAACCGGUAUAUCGCCGCUAUACCGCUGUUACAUAUCGGGAUUUAGAGCACCCACAACGAAAGCCGAUAUGCUAUUGCGAUUCCGCUAC